GACCGUAAGCGAAGUGGACUUCACAGGGUAUUCCGCCAUCUUAAGUGAGAUUCCAAUCGGAAGGGAGCGAACAUGUUCAGUUCGAAGGGCACUACGCACGGCACAGGGAAUAAGGGAACAUCAAUACAUCACUUCAUAGAAAGUGGAGAGCGAUUAUCCCCCAACUGUCAUUGCGCGAAGCACGUCAUUACCAGUCAGAACGGCCGUCUUCGCUGACUUCAUUCAUAUUCAUUACGGAUUGUAAAAAGGGCGUUCCAAAUGAGCAGUUAUUGCCAGUGAAGUCCACUUCAACUGAUAUACCGUGCUCAGGGAGUAGGGAGCAGUGAACACUGCGUAGGGACCCUGUCGAAUGGAACGCACCUAGAGACACUAAUGAUGGGAAGUUUGGAUCAUUAUACUGACUCUGACUUUUGAGUCACGUUCAGCAAAAUGAAAGAAUCUUUUUUUGAGUAAUUUCGUUCAUUUUAGCAAAAUGUAAUUAAAAUGUUACGUGUUACUUCCCCAACACAUCUAGUAACGUUACUUAAGCAAACGUUGAUCACACUACAAACAAUACAAAACUAAAAUGCUAUAAAGAUACAGAAAAGAUUAAUUAAUUAUUUACCUGGGUCUUCAGUCUGUGAUUUGGAUUAACUCACCUCUUGUCUGACAAGUCUUCAGCUUCAAAUCAUUCCUUAAUCACAUGACAGAUCCAUGCGCUAUUUCUGACAUUUCUGACAUUUGUCACUGUUUUUGUUACUGUUUCUUCUGGAUCUGUGGUGUUAUUAUUUUAUGAAUAAAUAAAACCUUGUUAUAAAUAAAAUAUUGAUUAAUUUGUC
Long non-coding RNA from Carassius gibelio (silver crucian carp), 818 nucleotides. RefSeq lists it as uncharacterized. Lineage: Eukaryota; Metazoa; Chordata; Actinopteri; Cypriniformes; Cyprinidae. The record is from RefSeq and is a predicted model, not a curated record. The transcript is spliced from 2 exons.